UCCGGCUUAACACCGGCAGUCUCCUUAGAGUGCCCGGCAUAACCCGCUGGUAACUAAGGAUAAGGGUUUCGCUCGUUAAGGGACUUAACCCGACAUCUCACAACACGAGCUGACGACAGCCAUGCAGCACCUGUGCACGUUCCACGGCAAGCCGCGUCACUCCCCUUUCAGAGAGCUAAUCCGUGCAUGUCAAACCCAGGAUAAGGUUCUUCGCGUAGCCUCGAAUUAAGCCACAUGCUCCACCGCUGGUGUGAGCCCCCGUCAAUUCCUUUGAGUUUCAGCCUUGCGACCAUACUCCCCAGGCGGGGUACUUAACACUUUCGCUUCGGCAGAAGGCGCAUCGGCACGCUUUCUACCCAGUACCCAUCGUUUACGGCUAGGACUAC
Molecule: unclassified non-coding RNA, 386 nt
Filed under: uncultured Planctomycetia bacterium
Lineage: Bacteria; Pseudomonadati; Planctomycetota; Planctomycetia
Description: contains 16S-23S intergenic spacer region
Source: RNAcentral